Molecule: long non-coding RNA, 1618 nt
Organism: Ziziphus jujuba (common jujube)
Lineage: Eukaryota; Viridiplantae; Streptophyta; Magnoliopsida; Rosales; Rhamnaceae
Exons: 4
Source: RefSeq, a predicted model, not a curated record
UCUACUUUCCUUUCUUCAUUCCUUCAGUCUGAGAAACCCAGAAUCUUUAGUUUCUGCAUUCUACCUUUUUAUUUUUCUUCAUCCCCGAAAAAACCCACACACAAUCUCAUUAAGAAAAAAAAAAAAAUCCAUGCUCCAUUUCCUUGCAUCUCUUACCUCUUCUCUUGCAAACAUAUGAAAUACUAAGGGAAAAUUGCAUUUGAGGUGAGCGGUAAUUGUGCAGAGGAGCUUCACUUGGAAAGUUUGCAGCAUCAAAUAGAAAGUGAUCUUAUGCCAAGUGCCCGAUGUGACCAAAGUGAUUCUUAUGGUAUCCUUUUAGUUAUAUGUUCUAUGGUGAAUUAUAUAAGUAAACUUUUUUUUUUUUAACAAUUAGUUAAUAUUUAAAAAAGAUGUUAUACCUGCUAUAUGGACCAUGAGGUAACUAUCUAUGUUGUUUAGUUUGCCCUAAUUUCUUUCUAUUUAGUUUUCAGCCAAGGUUGGAAUUUCUUAGGCUUGGCUGAUGGAACAUUAUUAAUUUUCAAGUUGAUUACAAAUAUGCAGUUGGGGAUAGGAUAGGUGAACUGUCUUAUACUUACUCCUAUUUUAUGAAUUUGAGGUUGGUUGCCGAGAUGUGGUAUUAGUUUGCUUGUGGUUUUGUAUUAUAGGCUAAUGGCACUCAAGACUUCCAUGAUAAACUGAUAUUUACAGAUUGAGAAACCCAUACUAUUGGUUACAAUUCCAAAAAUGUGCUUGAAAAUGCCUUAGGUCAGGUGCAUAUCAUUAUCCUUGUGCACUUGGUUAUGAGGUUGAUGUAGUGUCCCUCCUUAACAUAUUGAAGUUGUGGGUUUAUUUUUUUUAUUUUUAUUUUUUUUUUGUCUAUAAGUAAUAAUCACUGCCCCCACACCCUUUCUGUGAAUUUCAUGUAACAAUUGGUGUAUUACUAGAGUGGAUAUCACGAUGGUCUCAUAGCAAGAGAAGAAACUGUAGCGUAAGAGGGAUUUAAUAUUGGCUUUAAGGAAUCAGUCCUUGUUGGGUACAAAUGGGGUCUAGUUAGAGGUGAUACCAGGUCUUGAGGACUUGAAAGAGAGCAUUUAAAUUCUCAAGAUGUGGCAAGGGAUUGGAAUGAGCUAGGGGUAACAAACUGUGGAAAUGAGACAAAACUCCUAAGUGGAUCAGUCUAUCGAGGGGAAUUGCCCAAGGAAUUAUAUGUGGUGAAAGAUGUAUUAACUGGAAUGAGAAAACAUGUUCAUCUGCUGGACAUAACAACUUUAUCACAACUCAGAAAAGAUGCACAUCCUGGCUUUUAUAAUGGCUUUAGGCGCAUGGACUAUAACCAUUGGUGUAUUGCUGGACUUCUAGAUACUUGGAAUCAAGUUUUUAUGCAUUUCUCAUAAUUGUUAUGCUUGUUCUGGUACUUUUAGUUUAUAAAAAUGAUCAUACGGUUGCUUAGGUCCUUCCUUCCAUAGAUCACCAUUUUUAAGGGAAUCAAGUUUCAAAACACGACUGAUCUUUUCAUUUUCAAUGUCAACCAGAUAUUGAGAGUUAAACAUCAUUAAUGAAACUCUACAAUCCUGGAUAAUUUAGGGUAUUUAAUAUAUUCAUAAUUUGAACCAUAAAUUUGCAUGACUCUUUGAUUUUU